GCAGAGUAGACGCACGAGCGUACAGUGCCUUCCGAACGGGGAGUUUGUCGGGAGGACGAAGCCGGUUUUCCGGCGCGGUUCGGGUGUCGCAUCCCGCUGC
This 100-nucleotide non-coding RNA is filed under the name uncultured Oribacterium sp. RNAcentral's name for it is "THF riboswitch". It matches the Rfam family "THF (Tetrahydrofolate) riboswitch aptamer". Rfam says of the family: THF riboswitch presents a pseudoknot that joins P1-P2 and the loop of P3 and two THF binding. Lineage: Bacteria; Bacillati; Bacillota; Clostridia; Lachnospirales; Lachnospiraceae. The record is from RNAcentral.